This 671-nucleotide ribosomal RNA is filed under the name Rhizopus arrhizus. Its description in RNAcentral is "Rhizopus oryzae partial large subunit ribosomal RNA". It matches the Rfam family "Eukaryotic large subunit ribosomal RNA", at positions 53 to 654 of the family's 3401-position model. The record is from RNAcentral. Lineage: Eukaryota; Fungi; Mucoromycota; Mucoromycetes; Mucorales; Rhizopodaceae.
GAGGAAAAGAAAAUAACAAUGAUUUCCCUAGUAACGGCGAGUGAAGAGGAAAGAGCUCAAAGUUGGAACCUGUUUGGCCUAGCUAAACCGGAUUGUAGACUGUAGAAGUGUUUUCCAGGCAAGCCGAGUAAAUAAGUCCUUUGGAACAGGGCAUCAUAGAGGGUGAGAAUCCCGUCUUUGGCUUGAGCAUUUGCCUUUUGUGAUACGCUUUCAAAGAGUCAGGUUGUUUGGGAAUGCAGCCUAAAUUGGGUGGUAAAUCUCACCUAAAGCUAAAUAUUGGCGAGAAACCGAUAGCGAACAAGUACCGUGAGGGAAAGAUGAAAAGAACUUUGAAAAGAGAGUUAAACAGUAUGUGAAAUUGUUAAAAGGGAACCGUUUGGAGCCAGACUGGCUUGUCUGUAAUCAAUCUAGGCUUCGGCCUGGAUGCACUUGCAGGCUAUGCCUGCCAACGACAAUUUGACUUGAGGGAAAAAACUAGGGGAAAUGUGGCCCACUUGUGGGUGUUAUAGUCCCUUAGAAAAUACCUUGGGUUGGAUUGAGGAACGCAGCGAAUGCUUAUUGGCGAGUUUUCCAGGAAGGUUUUCUGAGGUACUACGGUAUCAAGGUUGAUCUUUUUGGUUAUACUUCUAUUCGCUUAGGUUGUUGGCUUAAUGACUCUUAAUGACCCGUCU